AGAGUUUGAUCCUGGCUCAGAUUGAACGCUGGCGGCAGGCUUAACACAUGCAAGUCGAGCGGAAACGAUACCAGCUUGCUGGUAGGCGUCGAGCGGCGGACGGGUGAGUAAUACUUAGGAAUCUACCUAGUAGUGGGGGAUAGCUCGGGGAAACUCGAAUUAAUACCGCAUACGACCUACGGGAGAAAGGGGGCAGUUUACUGCUCUCGCUAUUAGAUGAGCCUAAGUCGGAUUAGCUAGAUGGUGGGGUAAAGGCCUACCAUGGCGACGAUCUGUAGCUGGUCUGAGAGGAUGAUCGGCCACACCGGGACUGAGACACGGCCCGGACUCCUACGGGAGGCAGCAGUGGGGAAUAUUGGACAAUGGGGGAAACCCUGAUCCAGCCAUGCCGCGUGUGUGAAGAAGGCCUUUUGGUUGUAAAGCACUUUAAGCAGUGAAGAAGACUCCUCGGUUAAUACCCGUGGACGAUGACAUUAGCUGCAGAAUAAGCACCGGCUAACUCUGUGCCAGCAGCCGCGGUAAUACAGAGGGCGCAAGCGUUAAUCGGAAUUACUGGGCGUAAAGCGAGCGUAGGUGGCUUGAUAAGUCAGAUGUGAAAUCCCCGGGCUUAACCUGGGAACUGCAUCUGAAACUGUUAGGCUAGAGUAGGUGAGAGGAAGGUAGAAUUCCAGGUGUAGCGGUGAAAUGCGUAGAGAUCUGGAGGAAUACCGAUGGCGAAGGCAGCCUUCUGGCAUCAUACUGACACUGAGGCUCGAAAGCGUGGGUAGCAAACAGGAUUAGAUACCCUGGUAGUCCACGCCGUAAACGAUGUCUACUAGUCGUUGGGUCCCUUGAGGACUUAGUGACGCAGCUAACGCAAUAAGUAGACCGCCUGGGGAGUACGGCCGCAAGGUUAAAACUCAAAUGAAUUGACGGGGGCCCGCACAAGCGGUGGAGCAUGUGGUUUAAUUCGAUGCAACGCGAAGAACCUUACCUGGUCUUGACAUAUCUAGAAUCCUGCAGAGAUGCGGGAGUGCCUUCGGGAAUUAGAAUACAGGUGCUGCACGGCUGUCGUCAGCUCGUGUCGUGAGAUGUUGGGUUAAGUCCCGCAACGAGCGCAACCCUUGUCCUUAGUUACCAGCGGGUUAAGCCGGGAACUCUAAGGAUACUGCCAGUGACAAACUGGAGGAAGGCGGGGACGACGUCAAGUCAUCAUGGCCCUUACGACCAGGGCUACACACGUGCUACAAUGGUAGGUACAGAGGGCAGCUACACAGCGAUGUGAUGCGAAUCUCAAAAAGCCUAUCGUAGUCCAGAUUGGAGUCUGCAACUCGACUCCAUGAAGUAGGAAUCGCUAGUAAUCGCGGAUCAGAAUGCCGCGGUGAAUACGUUCCCGGGCCUUGUACACACCGCCCGUCA
This 1398-nucleotide ribosomal RNA is filed under the name uncultured bacterium. Its description in RNAcentral is "bacterial SSU rRNA". It matches the Rfam family "Bacterial small subunit ribosomal RNA". The record is from RNAcentral.